RNAcentral lists this long non-coding RNA (235 nucleotides) under Capsicum annuum. RNAcentral describes it as "long non-coding RNA (CANN_LNC002100)". The record is from RNAcentral. Lineage: Eukaryota; Viridiplantae; Streptophyta; Magnoliopsida; Solanales; Solanaceae.
UAAGUUCAUGCAUGCCAAGUGUUUGUUAAAAAGCCUUAGUGAAUAGAUUGUGACAUGUUAGCAUGAAAUUCCCUAAUUAUGUGCUCUUCAAUGCAUGUAAAAUGUCUGUUUUAAGACAUUGUUGAAUGGAGUAUGAGCCAGUUGCAUGUCUCCCUAUACUAUUACAUGUUUAUGAUUUCCAAGUUCUUGAAGAGUUGCUUUAAUGAUUUUAUUGGUGAAUGAUAGUCCAUGGUCA